RNAcentral lists this ribosomal RNA (464 nucleotides) under uncultured bacterium. RNAcentral's name for it is "partial 16S ribosomal RNA". It matches the Rfam family "Bacterial small subunit ribosomal RNA", at positions 28 to 507 of the family's 1533-position model. The record is from RNAcentral.
GACGAACGCUGGCGGCGUGCUUAACACAUGCAAGUCGAACGGAAAGGCCCUGCUUGCCGGGUACUCGAGUGGCGAACGGGUGAGUAACACGUGGGUGAUCUGCCCUGCACUUCGGGAUAAGCCUGGGAAACUGGGUCUAAUACCGGAUAGGAGCCAUUUUUAGUGUGAUGGUUGGAAAGUUUUUUCGGUGUAGGAUGAGCUCGCGGCCUAUCAGCUUGUUGGUGGGGUAAUGGCCUACCAAGGCGGCGACGGGUAGCCGGCCUGAGAGGGUGGACGGCCACAUUGGGACUGAGAUACGGCCCAGACUCCUACGGGAGGCAGCAGUGGGGAAUAUUGCACAAUGGGCGCAAGCCUGAUGCAGCGACGCCGCGUGGGGAUGACGGCCUUCGGGUUGUAAACUCCUUUCGCUAGGGACGAAGCUUUUUGUGACGGUACCUAGAUAAGAAGCACCGGCUAACUACGUG